Molecule: ribosomal RNA, 406 nt
Filed under: uncultured bacterium
Lineage: Bacteria
Description: partial 16S ribosomal RNA
Rfam family: Bacterial small subunit ribosomal RNA
Source: RNAcentral
AUUGAACGCUGGCGGCAGGCCUAACACAUGCAAGUCGAACGAGUGGCGGACGGGUGAGUAAUGUCUGGGAAACUGCCUGAUGGAGGGGGAUAACUACUGGAAACGGUAGCUAAUACCGCAUACCAUCGGAUGUGCCCAGAUGGGAUUAGCUAGUAGGUGGGGUAAAGGCUCACCUGGGCGACGAUCCCUAGCUGGUCUGAGAGGAGGACCAGCACAACUGGAGUUGAGACACGGUCCAGAGGCCUACGGGAGGAAGCAGUGGGGAAUAUUGCACAAUGGGGGCAAGCCUGAUGCAGCCAUGCCGCGUGUAUGAAGAAGGCCUUCGGGUUGGAAAGUACUUUCAGCGGGGAGGCGUUACCCGCAGAAGAAGCACCGGCUAACUCCGUGCCAGCAGCCGCGGUAAUUC